Molecule: ribosomal RNA, 365 nt
Filed under: uncultured eukaryote
Lineage: Eukaryota
Description: partial 18S ribosomal RNA
Rfam family: Eukaryotic small subunit ribosomal RNA
Source: RNAcentral
CAAUAGCGUAUAUUUAAGUUGUUGCAGUUAAAAAGCUCGUAGUCGGAUUUUGGCUGAGAACGAUCGGUCCGCCGUUAGGUGUGCACUGAUUGGUCUCAGCUUCCUGGUGAGGAGGUGUGCUUCACGGCCACUUAGUCACCGUGGUUACUUUGAAAAAAUUAGGGUGUUCAAAGCGGGCUUACGCUUGAAUAUAUUAGCAUGGAAUAACACCAUAGGACUCCUGUCCUAUUUCGUUGGUCUCGGGACGGGAGUAAUGAUUAAGAGGAACAGUUGGGGGCAUUCGUAUUUCAUUGUCAGAGGUGAAAUUCUUGGAUUUAUGAAAGACGAACUUCUGCGAAAGCAUUUGCCAAGGAUGUUUUCAUUGA